This 85-nucleotide transfer RNA is filed under the name Macrocystis pyrifera (giant kelp). Its description in RNAcentral is "tRNA-Tyr". It matches the Rfam family "tRNA". Rfam says of the family: Transfer RNA (tRNA) molecules are approximately 80 nucleotides in length. Their secondary structure includes four short double-helical elements and three loops (D, anti-codon, and T loops). The record is from RNAcentral. Lineage: Eukaryota; Phaeophyceae; Laminariales; Laminariaceae.
GAAGGGGUGACUGAGUGGUUAAUAGUGUCAGAUUGUAAAUCUGUUGGUUUUUCCAUCGUAGGUUCGAAUCCUAUCCCCUUCUUGU